Molecule: long non-coding RNA, 1104 nt
Filed under: Dromaius novaehollandiae (emu)
Lineage: Eukaryota; Metazoa; Chordata; Aves; Casuariiformes; Dromaiidae
Description: lncRNA (ENSDNVG00000016957.1)
Source: RNAcentral
UUCUUUUCCUCCUACAGGUGAUGGUUAGCUUUUGUUUUCCUCUGCUAAGGAUGUACAUAUGGUAGGAUUUCAGUGAUUACCUUUUGAAUCUGAUGUGCCCUCCAGCCCUAAAACCAUGACAUCAUUUGUGUGGUCUGAAAGCAGUCUCCAGUGACCAGUGGCAAGGUGUCAAGGCACUAACUAAGAUCUGGCUUAUAUUUCAAAUUCUCCUUUAUCUUCCAGAGUAAGUCCCUGCUCUCCUUUUGUUAUUAAGUCUCUUUCUGUCUUUGAAUCYAGGUUGCUGAGUUUAAUACACACCCACUCUCCCACAAACACUUAUAUUGACUCCAUCUAUAUUUAGAAUGUACUGUAGAUUGUAAGAAUGUAAUAUAUGUAUUUAUAAACAUGCCAACUGUGAAUAAAAUUUGCAUUUUAGUGGCUUCAUCUUUUUUCCUACUCUGAACGCCUCCCUCCUUUCACUGUCAGAACAUUUACCCUAAAAGAGACUGGCAGCAAUAUGGAAACUCGUCCUUUGAUGAAACGGUGAAUUAAGGCUCUUGGCACAACCCAGUUACAAAGUUUUACGUUGUGCAGUGUUGGCAGGAGAAGAUACAACAUCAACAACAUGUUAUGAAAUAUAUUUGCACCAAGUCACCCUUCCAAGAUUUGAAACCAUUUGCAAAUAAAUCCACGUGCGUAUUUCUAGUCUGAAAGCCUSAUAUGUGAGUUUCUGAUUUUGGUGUGAUUGGAAAGAUCCACAUUUGUAUCAGUGCCCCUCUGGAGACAUUUCUAUAAGAGUAAGUUGGUGUAAAUAGGGCUAAGGCAAACAAGCCUUCAGAGAUCAAUACUUGUGCAUGUGUUGGAUACUUGUGAGUUUAACUCCAUAGAACCCAAGAUAAAAAAAAAGUUUUGCUUUCUUUCAGUGCAUCUCAUCAGAGCCUGGAUUACGUGGCUGCUGCUCAGUCCUGCCUCCAAUACCUGAGCAGUUUGGGUGCUUUUGUAUACAUCAGUGCAUCACAUCCACAGAGUCUUACCCUUAGUGGAGGUACAAGCCACUGCCGAGAGCAGGACGUCAGACUUGCCGUACCAAUGAGCCACUGUGGUGAGUCUGGAUUCCUGUGCUAG